This 75-nucleotide transfer RNA is filed under the name Actinomycetes bacterium. Its description in RNAcentral is "tRNA-Gly". It matches the Rfam family "tRNA". From Rfam's summary of the family: Transfer RNA (tRNA) molecules are approximately 80 nucleotides in length. Their secondary structure includes four short double-helical elements and three loops (D, anti-codon, and T loops). The record is from RNAcentral. RNAcentral also lists the same sequence under 2 other names. Lineage: Bacteria; Bacillati; Actinomycetota; Actinomycetes.
GCGGGUGUAGCUCAAUGGCUAGAGUUCCAGCCUUCCAAGCUGGAUAUGCGGGUUCGAUUCCCGUCACCCGCUCCA